Long non-coding RNA from Motacilla alba alba, 3440 nucleotides. RefSeq lists it as uncharacterized. NCBI's taxonomy places the organism in Eukaryota, Metazoa, Chordata, Aves, Passeriformes, Motacillidae. The transcript is spliced from 4 exons. The record is from RefSeq and is a predicted model, not a curated record.
GGCGUGGCAGGAGCAGGGGCCGUGCUGCCUUCCCCGCCUCGCAGCUGGUCACUGCUCUGGGGGUAAUUUAAGGCAGAACUUGGCCUUUCUUACAUAUUUCACUUAUUCCCUUGAUUUUAAUUGACCCUGUUAUGGGCACUUCAAGCAUUUCAUGAGCCUGUGGUGCCUGGUUUCCCAGGUCAGAGGGAGGAUUUGUCAUAAAAUAAAUUCUGCCACCUCUGUCUUCUCAUUUCUGCUCUCAAGUGUCAGUGAGUGCUCUUCUGAAGCAGUUUCCAAUGACUCCCAAGCCCCUGUGCUGGAGCUACCCCAGUCUUGGAGGAUCUGUGGAGCCUUUCCAAAUGAAUCAGAGCCCUGAGUGGCAUCUGGAAAGAAGACCCUGAGUGUCACACCAGGAAGAUCCUCUAGUCAGGUUCUUUUGCUAUGCUGAAAUGCUGACAUGGGCAGAAUCAUCAUCUCAUGGUUGAAAAUCUGAAUUAAAAAUACUGAUGACUAAAUGAAUGAGGAAGUUGAAGAGAAAAACUGCUGAUAUAUUGAUGUCCAAUCUGUCCUGGAAGGCAGGAAAGCACAUAGGGAAACUGAGGCACAGACCUCUAAUCCACAUCCUUCAAGGUGUGAGAUGUUUGGCUCUCUUUGAUCCUAAAGGCAGAGACAUCUGACAUUUUUGACAGUUUGUGUCUGAUUCCCCUGUUCAAGGUCACACAGGACACUAGAAGGAGAGUGGUGAAUGACACAGAAUGCAAAUUUAUUGUGGUUCAUCCCAGAAUCUGAAUCUUUCAGCUGAAAUGUGGCCCAGCAUGAGGAAGAGCAGAGGACUUGGAUGAGUUUCUCUAUGUUCCAGUGCCCUCCCUCUCCACAGAAAAUAGAAACUGUUUUUGUAGAAUUGGAGUCCAAAUGCUGUUUGUGUAUUGGAGAAGAAGGUGAAUGAAGAGCCAUGAAUUUCCAGUUACCUCCAUGGAGUGGAAAUUUGAAAUUUACUCAAUGACUUCUAUGCAGGGUGAAGGAUUUGGGAAAAGUGUGGGAAUACUGGUUGAUGAAUGGUCCUUGCUGCCCAGAUACUGGGAGAUGCCAGAAGAUGAGCUUGUGAUGAGGCUCCCUUGCCCUUGGAAAUUCCUUUUCAAAAGGUUUUCUCAGAUCCCUCUGUCCCAACAAGGCCUGGCUGUUGGUGUUGCACCAUGAGCACAGAUAACCUUCCCUGGAACAACCCCCAUUCUGUGGCAUUGAAGCUCACUGAGCCCUCAGACCAACAGAUCUCAUCAAGACUCUUUGUCCAGCAUGGAAAAGAAGGAUUUCCCCCCUCCUUCAAACCUCCCUAUCACUUGCUCAGAGGCUCAGAUGCUGGAUCAAGCCUACAGUGAUUAACAUUCAACACCUGUGCUUCAAUCAAGGUACUUUUCUGUAGUAACAUCAUUUAUGUUGAAACUUCUUCUCCUUCAGUCACUGAUCUUCAGGCUUAUGUGCCUUAGCCUGGUGUAAAUCCAGGGUAACGCUGCUCUUAUUGGAGUUAUUCCUGAUCAGCACUGGUUUAAAUGAAAUCUGCAUGUGACCCACAGGUGACAUGGUUUCAGGGCCCUGUAAAGACCAGAGCUAUAACCCACGUUCCCUGGGUUAUAUAUCCCCCCAUCCAUGCUGACCAGCACAAAGCAACGUGGAUGAGACACCAUUGCAUUUUCAUUCCUUGACGUGGCAGAAUUUACUGUGCAGUGGGGUUUUCCACAUUCCCUGUUUACAAACAGGGUUUUCGUGGGUAUGGAACCACCUCCCUUUGCGCCAGCCCCUCAUCAGGGUUUGUCCUCCAAAUCAUAAAACUUCUAGGCUUGACACACGCUGCACAGUGAGAGGCUGAACAGAGCCAGUCUGAGGGGUGGAGAACAUUCCCCAUCCAGGGAGAAAGGAACCAGGAAUGAAAACAAUCCUGCCUUUGGGAAACCCUGUCUGCUGGCUUAAUCAUCUGUGUGGGCAGCCCAUCCUCUGGAUAGGGGAUUCUCCCAUGACUCCCAUGAAAUCCCAUUCAUGAUCUCCAGCCCAACUCCAUCCUUUGUUCACACCCCAUCAGAACCAGGGCUCUCAGGCUGGACUGGGCACCCAGCUGGUGGUGUCUGCCAGCUCAGAGCCCACCCAGGAUGGGUUUUCAGAGCCCAUUUCCAGCAGCUCCUUGCCAUGCCCGUGGAAAGAUGAAGCACCAGCAGUGAUGAACAGCACAGGACUAACCCCCCUGCACUGCUGCAGAGCUAGAGCCAGCUGGACCCUGGUGCAAAACGAUCUUUUGCUGCUGCUUGAUCACAUCUUGAAGGUCACCGGUGAGGCCAGGCAAGGAGAAACCAACGUCUGCCACCUCGAUGGGCCUCGUGGGCAUGUUCACACCCCCAGCCCUGCGACCCCUCAGGAAAUCAUCCCACUAGAGGGCACUGGGAGUCGAUUUUCCAUCCCCUUAUCUUAGUUUCUGCUCUUUAUUUGAGUUUCUCCUUGCUUAGCGUUCUCCCCACCUCUCCCUCCUCUUUGCUGGCCAGCUCAGACUGUUUAAAUUGGAAAUUAUUUGUAUUACUGUCUGUAAAUAAUAGAUGAGGGAGUGAAGUGGAGUUGGUGUCCCUUCCAUAAACUCCUCCUCACUUUAAUUAGUGCGAAACAGCCUGGUGAGAAUGCGAGCUGCCUUGAUGCUGGUAAUUAAAAUUGAAACCACUGAAAAGCUGCUCUAUUUUUUAUCGGAGCUGCUGUUCGGAGCCGGGAGCCUGCGGACGGCUCUGCAGUAAAGAGUGAUAAUGAAGGUGUGAAUUCCCGGAGGGAGGAGGGGCAGCUGUAGCGAUGGCUGAACUUACACCAGAUGAAAAUGCAGGAGCAAUUAGAGGUGGCUGUGUACAAGCUGGGCAUCGGAGAUUAGUUGGCACCUUGGGAACAUGGCAAGGAGGGACAGGCAAGGGGGAGUUGUUUGGUUUUUUUUUCCAUUUUGAAAAAAAAAAAAUUAAAAAGAUGGUAACUUAAAAUAAAGACAAACGUGCAGUGUGCCUGCCUGAGCAAGGAAUGGGAGGGAUGCUGGAAGAUGGGGCUGCAGCGGAGAGCUUGUGGAGUUGGAGACAACAGGGUGUCUUGCAUUGGGAAACAGCAGCAUUGGUCACACUGGGUCUCUCAGGAGCUCCCCAGCUGCCCUUGCAGGACAGGCAUGGGCUUGCUGCCAUCCCCAGGUGUGCUGCUCCUGAAUGUGCAUCUGAAUACCUCUGCAAGUCCUCUGUGUGCCCGUGAACUGAACCAAAGCCACGUGGUGACCACUGAAGACUUCUUCUCAUCUUCUGUUAGGCUUUGGAUCAGACCCCACCUCUGAAAAAUAAGCGUUGACUUGAGUAUCCAGGAGUGAUGGAAAAUGGAAGAGCACAGAGAGCUUAGUUAUUCUUGGCCAAAGAGGACUUUGGGAAGACUUGCUCUAAGUAAUCAGAUGUGGUUAUUAAUUG